RNAcentral lists this ribosomal RNA (503 nucleotides) under uncultured Glomus. RNAcentral describes it as "SSU rRNA". It matches the Rfam family "Eukaryotic small subunit ribosomal RNA", at positions 569 to 1078 of the family's 1831-position model. Lineage: Eukaryota; Fungi; Glomeromycota; Glomeromycetes; Glomerales; Glomeraceae. The record is from RNAcentral.
AGCAGCCGCGGUAAUUCCAGCUCCAAUAGCGUAUAUUAAAGUUGUUGCAGUUAAAAAGCUCGUAGUUGAAUUUCGGGGUCAGUAGGUUGGUCGUGCCACUGGUAUGCACUGGUCUCACUGAUUCCUCCUUCCUGAUGAACCGUAAUGCCAUUAAUUUGGUGUUGCGGGGAAUCUGGACUGUUACUUUGAAAAAUUAGAGUGUUUAAAGCAGGCUAACGCUUGAAUACAUUAGCAUGGAAUAAUGAAAUAGGACGAUCGAUCCUACUUUGUUGGUUUCUAGGAUUGACGUAAUGAUUAAUAGGGAUAGUUGGGGGCAUUAGUAUUCAAUUGUCAGAGGUGAAAUUCUUGGAUUUAUUGAAGACUAACUACUGCGAAAGCAUUUGCCAAGGAUGUUUUCAUUAAUCAAGAACGAAAGUUAGGGGAUCGAAGACGAUCAGAUACCGUCGUAGUCUUAACCAUAAACUAUGCCGACUAGGGAUCGGAUGAUGUUAAUUUUUAAUGUA